This 442-nucleotide unclassified non-coding RNA is filed under the name Hevea brasiliensis (rubber tree). Lineage: Eukaryota; Viridiplantae; Streptophyta; Magnoliopsida; Malpighiales; Euphorbiaceae. The record is from RNAcentral.
GGGUUACCCUGGUUGCGUGGAUUUUGGCACUCUCAUACUUCAUUGCAUACUUGGAGACUCUGGCCAUUUCUAAUUUCCCUUACUACCAAUUUGUUGAUCGAGCUUCAAUGUACAAAGUUGGCUCUUUGUUUUAUGCCAUCUACUUCUUCGUCAGCUUCCCAAUGUUCUUGAGGAUUGACGAGAAGCCUGGUGAUCUUUGGGACUUACCAAGAGUGGCAGUUGAUUCUCUAGGAGCAGCAAUGUUGGUAACAAUUUUACUUGAUCUAUGGCGCAUCUUCCUUGGCCCUAUUGUACCACUUCCCAAAAAGCAAUGCUAUCAACCAGGGCUACCAUGGUUUCUUGGACAAACCAAUUGAACUUUGAAAAUUGCAUUGCUGUUGUUAAUGUUAAUGUGAUCUUGUGUUGUACUAUAGUUAUUAUGGUAGUUUUAGCUCUAUUUGUG